CAUCUCAUUCUUUUAUUGCUCCGAGAGCCGUGGAGAGGUUGGGUCUAAUGAUCUCUGGGUUAGAGUGUCCUCUCUGGGUCAGUGGACCCAAGUGUGAUCCAUCAGUGGCAGAGUCAGUCUGCCAGUGUAGUCCUGUGUUUGUUGAGGGAAGAUGCUUAUCCGCCGACCUAGUGGUUCUAGAUUUGACAGAUUUUGACGUCAUUCUAGGGAUGGACUGGUUAUCUACCCAUGGUGCUACCUUGGACUGCAGGGACAAGGUAGUCAGGUU
RNAcentral lists this long non-coding RNA (268 nucleotides) under Manihot esculenta (cassava). RNAcentral's name for it is "long non-coding RNA (MESC_LNC001953)". The record is from RNAcentral. Lineage: Eukaryota; Viridiplantae; Streptophyta; Magnoliopsida; Malpighiales; Euphorbiaceae.